This 253-nucleotide ribosomal RNA is filed under the name uncultured bacterium. Its description in RNAcentral is "partial 16S ribosomal RNA". It matches the Rfam family "Bacterial small subunit ribosomal RNA", at positions 524 to 776 of the family's 1533-position model. The record is from RNAcentral.
UACGUAGGGUGCGAGCGUUAAUCGGAAUUACUGGGCGUAAAGCGUGCGCAGGCGGUUCGUUGUGUCGGUGGUGAAAUCCCCGGGCUUAACCUGGGAAUGGCCAUGGAAACUGGCGAACUGGAGUGCGGCAGAGGGGGGUGGAAUUCCGCGUGUAGCAGUGAAAUGCGUAGAGAUGCGGAGGAACACCGGUGGCGAAGGCGGGUCUCUGGGCCGAUACUGACGCUGAGGAGCGAAAGCGUGGGGAGCGAACAGG